Molecule: ribosomal RNA, 180 nt
Filed under: uncultured Glomeromycotina
Lineage: Eukaryota; Fungi; Glomeromycota
Description: partial small subunit ribosomal RNA
Source: RNAcentral
GGUUUGGCUGGUCGGUCCGCCUCACCGUGUGUACUGGUUCGGCCGGGCCUUUCCUUCUGGGGAGUUCGAUGGUCUUCAUUGGUCGUCGCGGGGAAUCAGGAUUUUUAUUUUGAAAAAAUUAGAGUGUUCAAAGCAGGCCUUUGCUCGGAUACAUUAGCAUGGAAUAAUGGAAUAGGACUU